GAGCACGUAGGUGGGUUUGUAAGUCAGAUGUGAAAGCCUUCUGUUCAACGGAAGAAUUGCAUCUGAAACUACAAACCUUGAGUGUAGGAGGGGAGAAUGGAACUUCUGGUGGAGCGGUGAAAUGCGUAGAUAUCAGAAGGAACGCCGGCGGCGAAAGCGAUUCUCUGGCCUAUUACUGACACUGAGUGUGCGAAAGCUAGGGGAGCAAACGGGAUUAGAUACCCCGGUAGUCCUAGCCGUAAACGAUGGGCACUAAGUAGAGGGAAUUACCGAUGUUCUCUCUGCCGUAGCUAACGCAUUAAGUGCCCCGCCUGGGGAGUACGGCCGCAAGGCUAAAACUCAAAAGAAUUGACGGGGGCUCGCACAAGCGGUGGAGCAUGUGGCUUAAUUCGAUGCAACGCAAAAAACCUUACCGGGGCUUGACAUGAUAGAAGUAGGAACCUGAAAGGGGGACAAACGGUAUCCAGUCCGUAGCUAUUACAGGUGUUGCAUGGCUGUCGUCAGCUCGUGUCGUGAGACGUUGGGUUAAGUCCCCUAACGAGCGAAACCCUUGUUUUUAGUUACCAGCGGGUUAUGCCGGGUACUCUAGAAAGACUGCCGUCGUCAAGACGGAGGAAGGUGGGGAUGACGUCAAGUCAUCAUGGCCCUUAUGCCCCGGGCUGCACACGUGCUACAAUGGUCGGUACAAACGGAAGCGAAGCCGAGAGGUGAAGCGAAUCC
RNAcentral lists this ribosomal RNA (720 nucleotides) under uncultured Candidatus Scalindua sp. Its description in RNAcentral is "bacterial SSU rRNA". It matches the Rfam family "Bacterial small subunit ribosomal RNA", at positions 565 to 1274 of the family's 1533-position model. The record is from RNAcentral. Lineage: Bacteria; Pseudomonadati; Planctomycetota; Candidatus Brocadiia; Candidatus Brocadiales; Candidatus Scalinduaceae.